Molecule: long non-coding RNA, 1814 nt
Filed under: Mus pahari (shrew mouse)
Lineage: Eukaryota; Metazoa; Chordata; Mammalia; Rodentia; Muridae
Description: lncRNA (MGP_PahariEiJ_G0006100.1)
Source: RNAcentral
GGAAAGGCGUCCUACGGCCGGCUAGGCUGCCGCCCCCUUGGAUGCUGUGGUUGUAGGGUGGGUGACCGACCGACAUCACUUGGGGUCUGGUGUGCCUUCCGAACCCGCUUUCACAGAGCUUCUAGCUGGCCCCGGAGCACCGCGGGCCUCCGCCUCCGGGAAGCCCUCCAGGGCACCGCCCCGGCGCCCCCACCCCGCCCCCGCUCCGCCGGCUCCCGGGCGUCUGGGGCGCUGCUCCCGCUCCCACGCGGGCAUCACCGGUGUCGGGGCGUCCAGGAGGAAGUCCUCCAGCGCCUCGAGUCCCGGCGGAGCCCGCACGGGAGCCGUGGCGGCCGCGAGACGCCUGGGGCCUCCGGGAGGUGAGAGAGUCCAGGGACGACGGCAGCCCCGGGCUUGGGGCACACCCACGGACAGGCCCGGCGGCUGGUCCCCGCGGCUCUUACUGUUUCACGUUAUCCCCCAGCGCCUCGCUCAAGUUCUUCUUGGCUGCUUCCAGCUCGCUCACAAAGGUCGCCAUUGCAGCGCGCGUCUCAGCCCGACCGUAGACCGCGCGGCCCACGGCCACCAGCAACCGAAAGAUCAACGCGGCGGAAGGCCUGCGCUCUGGCCGCUGGAGGCUCGACUCGACCCGACUCCGCUCGGCUCGGCUCGACUCGGCGGCCCCGCCCCCAGCCGCUCGGGAGACGUUGCGUGGGUUUGGUUCUCGGCCCCGCCCGUCUCUCGGUCGGGAAAGCACCCAGCCGAACUCCGUUCACCAACUCCCGCCUCUCGGGUCACGUGACCCGCUUCACCUACUGGGCGCGGGCCCAACCUACGCCCGCCUGCCCGCCCGCGGCGGCGCCCGGAGCGCGCACUUGACUGCCCCGCCCGCCGGGCCCCGCCCCACCCGCCAGGCCCCGCCGACUGCGGGUCUGCUCUUCCCAGAGGGAAGAGCUCAGGUCCCCGAGUGCAUGCAAUAUCCAAUUUACCCUCUUGUCCUCAUCUUUUGCCAAGUGCUCACCGCCUAUGGUGACAUUUAGUUGGUCGAUCUCGUUUUUCUGCCUCCUGCAACUAAAAUGAGAGCUCCCUGAAGGCAGGAUUUGUGUUACUCAAGUUCUGAACAUUCACUAUUGACUGAUCAAAUAAAAAUAAGUCCCAAGCAGGACAACCAAAGCUCCUAAGGGAGAUAACAGGAGGAGUCUCAGCGGCUAAUUAGCCUGACCCACAGAGGAAAAAAACGCAAAGAAUCCGGUUUCUAAUCAAGGUCAAGUGGAAGGACCUAUAAGCUAACUUGUCCUCUGACCUCCCUAUGCACGCUCAAAUUCCAAAUUCACCACACUCGAAUAUGCACAUAUAUAUACUACAAUCAGAAGCCAUAGCUGUGUUCAGUUUAAAACUUUUUAAAGCCUACUUUAAAAGUUUCUCUCUCUCUCUCUCUCUCUCUCUCUCUCUCUCUCUCUCUCUCUCUCUCAUUUUGAGACAGGGUGGCCUCUUAACUCACAGAGAUCCAACUGCCUCUGCCUCUGCCUCCCGAGUGCUGGAACUAAAGGUAUGGGCCACCAUGCCCAGCUUGUUCUUGAAAUAGGGUUUCUCUUUGUAGCCCUAGCUAUCCGACACCAGGCUAUUAUUUUGUCUUAGUGUUCAUACUUUUAAUGACAGCAUAACUUUUUUUAAGAUUUUAUUUUUAGGUAGAUGUCUUUGUGAGUGAGUUUACAGGUGGUUGUGAACAGCUGUGGGCCCUGUUAAAUACUGCAGAUAAGAUGCAUACAAUGACUUCUUUCCUGACUAUUAAACUGGGUUUUUCUCCUGUAUUAAAAGAAAUAUUUUAACAAGCA